GGCCUGUUCCCUGCAAAAAAAGGGAAUUUCUGGGUUGGUUCCCUGCAAAAAAAGGGAAUUUCUGGGUCUGUUCCCUGCAAAAAAAGGGAAUUUCUGGGUGUGUUCCCAGCAAGAAAAGGGAAUUUCUGGGUCUGUUUCCAGCAAAAAAGGGAAUAUCUGGGUCUGUUCCCCACAAGAAAAGGGAAUUUCUGGGUUUGUUCCCAGCAAAAAAAGGGAAUUUCUGGGUUUGUUCCCCACAAAAAGGGAAUUUCUGGGUUUGUUCCCAGCAAAAAAAGGGAAUUUCUGGGUCUGAUCUCUGCAAAAAGGGUAUUUCUGGGUCUGUUCCCCACAAAAAAGAGAAUUUCUGGGUUCCUUCCUUGCAAAAAGGGAAUUUCUGGGUUUGUUCCCUGCAAAAAGGGAAUUUCUGGUUGUGUUUCCACAGGAAGGGGUCCCACAGGAGAUGAUCCCCACACACAGGAGAUCCCCACACAGGAGGUCCUACAGGAGGAGAUCCCACACAGGAGGAGAUCCCUCACUGGAGAUCCCCUCACAGGAGGGUCCCACACACAGAAGGAGAUCCUACAGGAGGUCCCACAGGAGGAGAUCCCACACACACAGGAGGAGAUCCCCACACUGGAGAUCCCCUCAAAUGAGGGUCCCACACACAGGAGGAGAUCCUACAGGAGGUCCCACAGGAGGAGAUCCCACACACACAGGAGGAGAUCCCCACACUGGAGAUCCUACAUGAGGGUGCCACACAGAGGAGAUCCCCCCUGAAGAUCCCCCAGAAGAUCCCUCAGGAGAUCCCUCAGAAGACCCCCAGAAGACCCCUCAGAAGAUCCCCCAGAAGAUUCUCCAGAAGAUCCCUCAGAAGACCCCCCAGAAGAUCCCUCAGAAGACCCCUCAGAAGACCCCCAGAAGAUCCCCCAGAAGAUCCCCCAGAAGAUCCUCCAGAAGAUCCCUCAGAAGAUCCUCCAGAAGAUUCUCCAGAAGAACCCCCAGAGGAUCCUCCAGAAGACCCC
This 1001-nucleotide long non-coding RNA is filed under the name Chloebia gouldiae (Gouldian finch). RNAcentral describes it as "Erythrura gouldiae (Gouldian finch) lncRNA (ENSEGOG00005011069.1)". The record is from RNAcentral. Lineage: Eukaryota; Metazoa; Chordata; Aves; Passeriformes; Passeridae.